This 168-nucleotide ribosomal RNA is filed under the name Clavaria acuta. RNAcentral describes it as "partial large subunit ribosomal RNA". It matches the Rfam family "Eukaryotic large subunit ribosomal RNA", at positions 99 to 261 of the family's 3401-position model. The record is from RNAcentral. Lineage: Eukaryota; Fungi; Basidiomycota; Agaricomycetes; Agaricales; Clavariaceae.
AGGGAAAAGCUCAAAUUUAAAAUCUGGCAGUCUUUGGCUGUCCGAGUUGUAAAUUAGAGAAGCGAUAUCCGCGCUGGCCGUGCAUAAGUCUCUUGGAAAAGGGCAUCAUAGAGGGUGACAAUCCCGUCUUUGGCAUGGACUACCAGUGCUUUGUGAUGCGCUCUCGAU